AUUGAACGCUGGCGGAAUGCUUUACACAUGCAAGUCGAACGGUAGAGGGGGCAACCCCUCGAGAGUGGCGAACGGGUGAGUAAUAUAUCGGAACGUGCCCAGUCGUGGGGGAUAACGUAGCGAAAGUUACGCUAAUACCGCAUACGAUCUAAGGAUGAAAGCGGGGGAUCGCAAGACCUCGCGCGAUUGGAGUGGACGAUAUCAGAUUAGGUAGUUGGUGGGGUAAAGGCUCACCAAGCCAACGAUCUGCAGCUGGUCUGAGAGGACGACCAGCCACACUGGAACUGAGACACGGUCCAGACUCCUACGGGAGGCAGCAGUGGGGAAUUUUGGACAAUGGACGCAAGUCUGAUCCAGCCAUUCCGCGUGCAGGAUGAAGGCCCUCGGGUUGUAAACUGCUUUUGUACGGAACGAAAAGGUCUCUCUUAAUACGGGGGGCUCAUGACGGUACCGUAAGAAUAAGCACCGGCUAACUACGUGCCAGCCGCCGCCGUAA
Molecule: ribosomal RNA, 496 nt
Filed under: uncultured bacterium
Lineage: Bacteria
Description: partial 16S ribosomal RNA
Rfam family: Bacterial small subunit ribosomal RNA
Source: RNAcentral